This 599-nucleotide long non-coding RNA is filed under the name Mustela putorius furo (domestic ferret). RNAcentral describes it as "lncRNA (ENSMPUG00000025531.1)". The record is from RNAcentral. Lineage: Eukaryota; Metazoa; Chordata; Mammalia; Carnivora; Mustelidae.
GAUCGAAUUAAAUUAUCUUCAAGGUGCAAUUCAUCUCUAUGCUUUUUGUGCUAAAAAGGAAUGAGAAAGAGAUAAAAAGUAAACAAGAAGAUAGAGGGACAGAAGGCAGGCAGGCAGGCAGGAAGGCUGAAUAUGUGAUUGCUAUGCUUAAUAUUUGAUCAAAAUAACUGAUUAUUUGCUAUAACUAUGUUAAAUUCCUAGGACCUCUAUAUUGACUGUUUAGUUUAAAAUAAAUGCCACAUUCAAAAGACUAUUCCAGGGGAGACCAAUUCAAGAAGGCUUAGCAGGAAAAGGUCUUACCUGAAGAUAACGAGUGAACGGAUGAGUUUGUUGUUCUCUAUUACAGACUGUUUACCCAUUAAAAGCACAUAGCAAGAAAUAAUUUCUAUGACUAUAAACUAAAAACCCCAAUGAUAGAUUCCAAAAUUGCCUUCCAACCUGUUCUUUGUUCUAAAUCUAGUUUUCUGGUAUUAAUAUUCAGAGUUUAUCCUUCACCAAAAGAGUCUAAUUAUGGAAGAAUGAUCAGAUUGGUGAUGAGUAAUUCAACUGCGGAUGAAAUUCUACAGGUUUUGAAACUCUUGAGGCCAGGGACUGUCUGA